ACACAGACUUCAAAUAUCUUUGGGAAUUUGUGCUCCUUAUUUACUGAGUGCUUGAGAAGAAAAGACAAAGCCAGUGGAAUGGUCCGAGUGUGGCAUCCGCUGCAUUUAUAAAGAAUAAGAGCUGCAGUGGGUGUGAUUCUUGGACAGAGUGGCGCUCAUCCUUGUUCCUGCAAUGAAGGACAUGCCAGCCUCCAGGCUCUUUGACAGAUGAUUGGAACUGUGCAAAUAUUAUGGAAGAUACCCCGUGUCAAGAAGCUGACAGCACACACGUUUGGGAAGGAUUUAGUGGCUGAAGCACUUCUAGAAGACAUCACCAAAAUGAAACAGUCUACUAUCAGCAAAGGUACCUGAGUAAACAUUCUGCAAUCUCUAACAAAUGUUUAAUGCAAAUGAAACACACUGAAAACCUAAUUCUCAUGUGAGAAGAAUCCUUCGCUAGUAAUCUGUAGUUAACAUCAUUCGUGUGACUUUUUGUGUUGCGUCAUUAGCAUUGCCUAUGUUUUUUCUCUUUGGUGGGGCCAGAAGGAAAGAUCUUGUUGGCUUAGUGGUAUGAAAACCAGGGAGGGAGGGGAAAUGAGGCUCCUCUCCUUUCUUUUCACUACUAGAAUGCCAGAGCAAGAGUGUGAAACAGAGAGCACAGAGCCGUGAUGCUGCCCCCUGCCGGUGGUGCAGGAGAAAGGACGCAACCUCAGUCUACGACUCCUGCCAAGAUUAUCAGCCACGCUAGAAACUAAAGGGUGAAAACAGGGUUUCUCUGCUGCAAUUCCAUCUCUUCCUCUAGAAACUUGUCGUAGGAAUGACUCCCUGUAACUUCCCACACCUGCCUCUUCUUUCUGUAAGUGUUGGCUAACAGAAUCCCCUCCUUCCUCGGUCCUUGCUAAGUGACUGAAUUCAGAAACUCCUGGACAAUAUUACAACCAUCCGUAUUACUGGUCUUUGGCGCUCUAGACUUAUUUUAGAAAGAAAAAUGUGGCAAAUCAUCCAAGAAUUUUCCUGUGCACAGCAUAGGGAUCUGUUUCUCUUACCAUCAGAAAGGGAUUCAUAGUCAUAAUCAUAUUCGUCCUCCUCAUCUUCCUCUUCCUCAUUAUUGGCAGGUCGGGGGUUGGCAUUCCCACCAUUAUAAGCCUGCACUUGCAUAGAUGCUAACUGAUGAGCCUGUAAAAUAGCAAUAAUUGUAAACUGCAGAUGCCAAGUUAAUGAAUUCAUUUAUAACCUUUAAAACUACCCCUGAUGUUUAACACAAUCGUUAAAAGUGGCUUAACCUAUUUUGAUACAUUUGGGAGAGGAGAAAAAAAUCUAGAUUCCCUCGAAAUGCAAUGUCAACACUUGGGUGAACGUUAGCAUUCCUACAGGAAGAAUCCUGGAGCUUUUAUAAACAAUCUCCAGAAGACUGUGUGCAGUGCCCAGCUAGCCAGGUUCCCAGGACAACCCCUCCAAGAGAAAGCUUUGGUGAUUUGGAGAACCAGCAUCAAUCCCAAGUGACUGAAGAAGUGAAUCACCCAUCAAUUUUUCAGAAGUAUGUCUCUGUUAAGAAACCAUUUUUUCCCCUUCUUAAAAUAAUAUCUACAGGCUCCUGACCUUGAGAACAAUAUUAGAAUCCCUAUGGACAAAGAGGCCAAAAGAAUUGUUGUUGGUUUAAAUAAAAUUGUUUUCAAACGGCUUUCUGAACCAUAAAUCAGAUUAACAAAACAGGCCUAGAAACUUUAGGAAACUUGAUGUGUGCAGCCAGGGAGGUCACAUACUCCGUGUUUACUGGAAUUACUGUGAAGUGAUAAGCAUCAGUACAGGUCUGGGAACCUACCUAGCUUAAGAAAAUCAUCUGAAAUAUAGGAAACGUUACUUGCAUGAACUAAAUGCAGGAAACAAUCUAAACGGGGUAGAGGAACGGGGUCAGUAAGCAAUGGUUGUCUGCUGGAGAGAAUGAGAUAUGAAAAAAUAAUUGAUAUAUAUUUAUUGAACAAAGGAAGUGAACAAAUUCUUUUAUUCAAUAUUUAUGCAUUGAAUAUACUAUAUAGAUUAUAUAUACACACAUAUAUAAUUCUGCAUGUGUAUGUGUGCAUACAUGUGUGCUAAUAUAUACUAUAUAUAAUGUAUGUGUGUGCAUACAGAUAAUAGCUAUACAUGUAAAUAUAUACACUAUAUAAAUAUACAUAUAAUUCUGUAUUUGUUUUAUAUAUUUAAAGUGCAAUUAUAUAAAAUGACAGUCACGAAGUCCUAGAUAUUAAAUGUUAAUAUGGCAGGGGUUCUUCACUUGUUUUUGCAUCACAGACUUCUCUGGUUGUCUGGUGAGACAGGAUCCCUUCUCAGAAUGAUGUUUUAAAUGCAUAAAAUGAAAUGGUUACAAAGGAAAUACUGUUGAAUACAGUGAUCACAUGUUAUAGGAACAAAUUUGUGCUAUUAGAAUAUAUGUGUUUAUUAACACAGUAGAAAACAUAGUAGUAAGUUAAUUAACAUUUUUGAAAAUAUAAAUUGAGCAUAAAUAAUUCUUGGAGAUAUUAGCGACAACUGUGAAGUAUAAUGAAAAAGUUGCCAUUUCUAUUGAUGACAAUAGGUAUUGCCUAUAUUACUGUAGUUUAUUCCCUACAUUUAUGAUCAGAGGAAAUGCUAAAUUUCAGCUAGAGGUUAGUGAAAAUAAAGAUGUAAUUUUUUUCCAUUUAUAUUCGUAGACUCCCUAAAUUCUAUUUGUGGAUAUUACCAAGGUUAAGAACUCGUGUAAUACAGUUGUGUUUGACCCUGGAAUUAUGUAUGUUUUAAAAUAAUUCUCUAUUCCCUAAAUUUUUGAAAUGUGGUUAUAUUACCUUUAUAAUGAAUAUGUAUACAUAAGGAAGAUACAAUUUAGGCUGUGUCCAUAUCCAGAUGAAAUGUAUUACAAAGCAGUCCAUUCCAGAUAACUGGACAUGGUCUAGGCUGCGAUUUCUCAAAGUGGGUUUUAUGGAGCUCGGUGGGUGUUAAUAGGUGUUAUGGAAAAACUGACAAUUACAGGAACCACAAGAUACACUGAAUGCCUGGAAGCAGCAGCUUAACCAAACCUGAACACAUUCCUACUACAGGGUUUCACACAGCCUUCAUUUAAUACGCUAAAGGGCAUCACGAGUCUUCAAAGAUCUCCAGUGCAGCAUUUCCCAUGCUUACUUAACCAGGAAAUUUUUUUCCCCUGUCUUUCUCUUCUCAGAGUCUCUCAUAGGAUUAGUGUUCUUCAAAACUUUGGGAAAUCUGUUGUAGGCACAAGUGAGCCACAAAAGCAGGUCUGUUUAUCGCUGAUAAGAGAAGGGCCUUGACUCAGCGAGCACUCAAGGUAAUGCCAAGUGCUGGGAAUGAUGACGCCAAGGGCUGGACAGACCCCACUGGCAGGGAAGCAUGAGAACUGUAUGGGAGAAGGACACUGCUCAAAGAACCACGAAUAGCAGUGUCUGAAAGUGGAGUGCCAAGGCCCCCAAGAUGCUCAAGGAGAAGCAUGGGAGAGGUAGCCCAACAAACGGCCAACAGCUGGGACCCUUCUAUGCAAUAUCCUACUUAUUCUAGGGUAGAAAAAUGGGACCUCAGCCCCUGAAUAAAAGUAACUCGGAUAUAGGUUGUGGUUGGAGGUAUGGGUCAGAUGAGGAGACUGGCCCUCAUAGGGCUAAGCAGGAGCAAUGUCUUACACUUCUCUGUUUCCCCAGUACCUAGCCGCAGUGUCUGUCAUUUAAGGUGAACUGAGUUUUUUGGGUUCAAAUUCAGGAGAGGAAUGUCAGAAUCCUGGAGGAUCCUGGUGGGGUAUAGUUAGGAGACCUCAGGAUGCAUCUCAGUACAAGCCAGAGGCAGGUGGAGGGCUUCAGAAAUCCUGCUCUGAGUCAAUCCAUCCUUGCUGAGGGUGAGUUCUUUGUAUGGGAAAUGACUCCGGCCUUCUAUGUUAGCGGGUAGGUCUGAGCCCACUGGAGCUCUGGAUCACCUGGUUUAUUUGAGGUCAGAUCAUCACUAGGUCUAGACCCAUGAUCUACCAGAAAACAGAAAGGCCUUACGGAUGUGACUGUGGAAUCAUUGCUGGUACCCCUUGGGAAGUCAUCAUGAAAGGUUGCAAGCAGUCUUAGAAAACUGGCAAUAGGGAUUAUAUUGUCCCAUUUUUCCAAAAUAAGGAACAAGUAAGUUGUGGAAAUUAUACUGUGGGCAGUGUCAAGGUGAUAGCUGACAAAAUUUCAUGAUGGGGUAUUAAUCACUUGGUUUGUGAGAACUUAGAAAAUAAAGAGGUGAUUUGCAAGAGUUAGAGUGGAUCUACUAAGAACAAGUUUACCACACAGUGACCUCCUUAGCUGUUUUGGAUAAGAUAAUUCACUUUAUGGGAAAAACAGCAGAUAAAUAGUGUUUCUCAAACUUCCAGGAUAAUAAGAAUUAUUAUUGUUAUUAUUUUUUACGCAGACACCAUGGUGACUUAAGGAAUUAUUUUUAUAUAAACAGAUGACCAGGCCUUUCUUCUGGAAAUUCUGACUUAGUCAGUCAGAUUUGUGACCUUAGAAUCUGUUUUUCAAAGUGCUCCAGCGAUUAUUCUUAUUAAUGUACUCUGACUUCUGUAUCACCUUUGAAAAGGGCUUCUCUAAAGACCCAAGUCUGAGACUAAGCUCUAUUGCUAUGAGCUGGGUGGCCUUGAGAAAGUCACACAAGUGGCCAGGUUUCAGUUUUCUAUUUUAUAAAUAAAGAAAUCAAUAAAGAAGUCGAAGCACACUCUGGGAAAUGCAGGCUACAAGAGAGGAGAGCACCAGACGGGGGCAAUAAUCAUCAAAUGCCAGGGGGCUUAUUUAAGAAGGGCACAGGCCUCUCCAUGUGGCUGGCUGACUCAAGGGCAACUUGGGAUGAAGACACAGUUUGAGAAACUGCUAAUAAAUGUACCAGAUGACAGAAACAAAAUUCACAAAGAACUUUGUAGGACGUAAUAAUAUACCAAAACCAAGAAGAGCAGAAAUAGAGAUAAAUGUGAGGCUCCCAUAUACAAAAGGUUAAAAUUCAUUGUUAAUCUGGAAAAAUGGGAACGCUGGGCAUAAGAACAGUCUAUAUGAAAAUAACUGAAUGCUUUUUGUUUUCUACAAGCUCAACAUGAGCUCAGUGUGUGCUAAAGAAUUUUUUUUUUUUUUGAGUCAGGGUCUUACUCUAUGGCCCAGACUGGUAUGCAGUGGCACAACAUGGCUCAUUGCAGCCUUGGCCUCCCAGGCUCAGGUGAUCCUCCUGCCUCAGCCUCUCCAGUAGCUGGGAAUACAGGCACAUGCCACCAUGCCCAGCUAAUUUUUAUAUUUUGUGUAGAGAUGGGGAUUUGAUAUGUUGCCCAGGCUUGUCUUGAACUCCUAGAUUCAAGCAAUCGACCUGCCUCGGCCUCCCAAAGUGCUGGGAUUACAGGCGUGAGCCACAGCGGCUGGCCAAGAAUUUUUGAAAAGCAGACAGUCUGAGGCUGUAUUAACAAAGGUUUAAAGUUCAAAUUAGGGGAGGUGAUGGUUUCACUGUUCUUGUGCUGUAAUAUACUACCUAGAAUACUGAUUUAGUUCUGGAAAUCACAUUUUCAGAUUGACGAAUUCAAGAAUAUCCACAAAUUUAAGAAUAUCUACGAUAUUCUUAAUGGUAAGUAAAGAGUCUUAGCAACCAUAUCCUGUCAGGAACAGUUGGCACAACAAGAAUUUUUAGCUUGGAGAAGAAAAGCUGGUGGGGAAACACAUGAUAGCUUUCUAAAUAUAAAAUUAGUCUGUACAGCUGCAGAGGGAAGAGGGAGGGCCAAUGAGAAGGAGGAAAAGGAAGGAAGAUUUGGGCUCAACAUAAAAAAGACUUCUGUUCAUUAGUGGAAUGAAGGCCUUAUAAGUAACUGCAAAUGACUGUGCACAGAAUGGAAAAGGCAAGGACAUUCACAUUUAUCAUUUAUCUUGAAGACCACAGUGGUAUGUGUGGUUAGCAGCUUUAUCUGCUUGGCAGUGAGGACUGGGCAGGAAUUGUUGGAUAAAGAAAACAGCACAGAUGAACAGGGCUCUAGAAGAAAAAGCACCACACUGGGUGGUCAGUCACUGAUGUGGCAUUUGAGGAAGGCAAGGUAGAGUAUACAUGCUAACAUUUAAAUAACUUUGUAACAAGGCCCAUCAGCAUAGGUGCCAUGGCCUCUGAAACCCAAGCAAAAGCAAGGUCACCUGGAGCAGAUUUGGAAGUGCAGAUCUGGAUAAAGGUAGACCUACUGGAGGUCUCCAACUGGUGGCCCUUGGGGCUGACUGCACCUCCAGACCUGACUUGUUUGGCUGGUGCAGUGUUUAAAAAUAAUUGAAUUAGAGCUGUUCUUUGACACGGCGUGCACACUCCACUCCUGUCCUCACCACUUCCAGCUGUCCUGUAUCCAGCUGGCUCCUCACACUGAUGUUUCCUGCUUAGCCCCUGAAAGUGGCUGAUUUUGCAACUUUUGGCCCAGAAUCAUGGGUGAUCUUCAAAUUGGGUAAUGUAUUACCUUCAGAGGACACAAACACUUCAAGGGAAUAUGCAGGUUCGGAUGUUUGUAAAGAAACUGGUUUCUGUAUGUUUAGCAUCUGUGUGCCUGUACUCUUUGAGCCAGCCUGAGAGCAAGUCUGUAGCUGGCUAGUUUCCAAAGUGAUGUUUUAGGACCAACAGUGCCCUCCUAAGUAGGACAAAUAGUUUUGUCAGCUGUCAUCCUGUGGGAUAAGUAGGUGCAGACUGGAAAAUGGACUCAGUGUUCUGUACCUGAACUUUUUCACAGACCUUUGAGCCGAGGGUCUCCUACACAGGUGGGUUUGUCGUGCUUGGGCCCAGAUCUCUGUUGUCCGGAUCUGGGCCCAAGCAGCAUAAACUAGUGAUACGCUGGGAUCACAGGGCUAUGGCUUUUGGGCUUCUACUACAGGCCCCAUGCCAAGGGCUCCCCUAAGGGGACUCUCCCUAAAGGGGACUAUAGCAGCCAUUAUGGGAUGAACAACCCCCUAAGCUCAGUUUCAGACACAACAGUCACACUUCAUCCCACUCAGAAUAAAUUAAAUAACGGAGGUAUAUUCUAUGUGGGAACUAUUCCACAAAUUAAAUCUUGGGUGAGUGAGAUGAGAGAAUUUAUUGGUCUAUGGAAUGAAAAGCCCAAAAUCAAACUUAUCAUUUAAGGAAAGUCAGUCUUGAAAAACUAGUAAACCAGCAGGUCAUCUGAAAGGUUAGAAUGAUGUUAUUUUUCUUUGUUCUAGGCACACUGCCUUUUCAUAACUGGUUUAACAGAGGGGAGUACCUUUUGCUUUAAGAUAUCCACUGGCGUCUGAUGGGCUUUUAGCUUCUUGUUUUUAAGAAGAACUUUCUUUCUGAGUUGGUCAGGUGAAGGAAGCAUUGGAUCAUCUGAGAAAUCAGUCUCAAAUAAGAAUUUAGUCACCAGCUUUUCUCCAAACACAGUCUAAAAAGAAUGAAGGAAAACAUACAAUCAAUGCCUUUUAUCUAUAAUUGAUAAAUAUAUGUACACUUCAUAAACAUAGUAGAUAUUUUAGACUGGUUGAAUUAUUUAAAAAGUCUUAGGAAGAGGAACUAGGAAAGAAGCUGUCCCCUGCUCCUGCCCCCUUCACAGUUUCUUACUGAAAGGAAGGGAGGUGUUUAGAAGGACAGGAGGAGAGGUCGAGGCCACUCUGCAGCUGGUGUCAGUUCUAACUAUUUAGGAAAAUAUUCUGUGGUCUGAUGUAUUAAAUAAGAAAACAGAGAAUCAGUUAGAGGCUGUUGUUUGUAGAAUAAGGUUAGUUUCAGAUGAAGUCAAGUCAAAAGGAUAAAACUUUGGAGGGGGUAGGGAGCAGGGACAAAGACAUAGGUAGAAUUUGCGUCCACAUAGUGUAAAGAACCACAGACACAAUUCUCACAAAGAUUUUGAGCAUGGAUCUCCAAAGCAGAAUGUGUGUCUGUCAAGGAGGUGGGUGGAGGGAAAGCAGACACAAUGCUUAUAUCAACUCCAUUGUUGCCCAGGCUGGUCUCGAACUCCUGAGCUCAAGCGAUCCACCCGCCUCAGCCUCCCAAAGUGCUAGGAUUACAGGUGUGAGCCACUGGGCCUGGCCUUGAGUUAUUUUUUAAUUGAAAAAAAAAAUCAAAGCUUAGGCCAGGACAAUAUGAAAAGUUAAUUAGUUUUGUUGGCAUUAAUAUUUGGGGACAUUUUGUCAGUGCCCCUCUUUCCCACUGAGAGCCUCAUUUCCACAAAUGCCUCUACCAUUAAAGGAAGGGGGAAGUAUAAUGGAAUAUCUGCUUCUAAAUCUGGGUGCAUUAUUGUUGUGGGAAGUCAGGGAUCCCGAACGGAGGGACCAGCUGGAGCCGUGGCAGAGGAACAUAAAUUGUGAAGAUUUCACGGACGUUUAUCGUUCCCAAAAUUCAUACUUUUUAAUUUCUUAUGCCUGUCUUUACUUCAAUCUCUUAAUCCUGUUAUCUUUGUAAGCUGAAAAUGUACGUCACCUCAGGACCACUAUUGUACAAAUUGAUUGUAAAACAUGUGUGUUUGGACAAUAUGAAAUCAGUGCACCUUGAAAAUGAACAGAAUAACAGCGAUUUUAGGGAACAAGGGAAGACAACCAUAAGGUGUGACCGCCUGCAGGGUCAGGCAAAAAGAGCCAUAUUUUUCUUGUUGCAGAGAGCCUAUAAACAGACGUGCAAGUAGGAGAGAUAUUGCUAAAUUCUUUUCCUAGCAAGGAAUAUAAUAUUAAGACCCUAGGAAAAGAAUUGCAUUCCUGGGGGGAGGUCUAUAAACAGCUGCUCUGGGAAUGUCUGUCCUAUGCAGUUGAGAUAAGGACUGAGACAUGCCCUGGUCUCCUGCAGUACCUUCAGGCUUACUAGGAUUGGGAAACCCCAGCCCUGGUAAAUUUGAGGUCAGACCGGUUCUCUGCUCUUGAACCCUGUUUUCUGUUAAUAUGUUUAUCAAGACAAUACGUACACCGCUGAACGUAGACCCUUAUCAGGAGUUUCUGAUUUUGCCCUGGUCCUGUUUCCUCAGAAGCAUGUGAUCCUUGCUCUGCCUUUUGUCCCUUGAAGCAUGUGACCUACUCCCUGUUUGUAAACCCCUUUUGAAAUCCUUAAUAAAACUUGCUGGGUUUGCGGCUCAGGUGGGCAUCAUGGACCUAUCAAUAUGUGAUGUCGCCCCCAGCAGCCCAGCUGUAAAAUUCCUCUCUUUGUAUUCUUUCUCUUUAUAUCUCAGACUGGCUGACACUUAGGGAAAAUAGAAAGAACCUACGUUGAAACAUUGGGGGCAGGUUCCCCUGAUACAUUAUCAUACCCUUAUAUAAGGAAGGACUGACUGUUAACACAGCAA
This 9256-nucleotide long non-coding RNA is filed under the name Homo sapiens (human). RNAcentral's name for it is "non-protein coding PLCE1-AS1:10". Lineage: Eukaryota; Metazoa; Chordata; Mammalia; Primates; Hominidae. The record is from RNAcentral.